AUUGAACGCUGGCGGCAGGCCUAACACAUGCAAGUCGAGCGGUAACACAAGGGAGCUUGCUCCUGAGGUGACGAGCGGCGGACGGGUGAGUAAUGCCUAGGUAUCUGCCCAGUCGAGGGGGAUAACAGUUGGAAACGACUGCUAAUACCGCAUACGCCCUACGGGGGAAAGGAGGGGACCUUCGGGCCUUCCGCGAUUGGAUGAACCUAGGUGGGAUUAGCUAGUUGGUGAGGUAAUGGCUCACCAAGGCGACGAUCCCUAGCUGGUCUGAGAGGAUGAUCAGCCACACUGGAACUGAGACACGGUCCAGACUCCUACGGGAGGCAGCAGUGGGGAAUAUUGCACAAUGGGCGAAAGCCUGAUGCAGCCAUGCCGCGUGUGUGAAGAAGGCCUUCGGGUUGUAAAGCACUUUCAGCGAGGAGGAAAGGUUAGUGAUUAAUACUCACUAGCUGUGACGUUACUCGCAGAAGAAGCACCGGCUAACUUCGUGCCAGCAGCCGCGGUAAUACGAGGGGUGCAAGCGUUAAUCGGAAUUACUGGGCGUAAAGCGUACGCAGGCGGUUUGUUAAGCGAGAUGUGAAAGCCCCGGGCUCAACCUGGGAACUGCAUUUCGAACUGGCAAACUAGAGUCUUGUAGAGGGGGGUAGAAUUUCAGGUGUAGCGGUGAAAUGCGUAGAGAUCUGAAGGAAUACCGGUGGCGAAGGCGGCCCCCUGGACAAAGACUGACGCUCAGGUACGAAAGCGUGGGAGCA
Molecule: ribosomal RNA, 752 nt
Filed under: uncultured Shewanella sp.
Lineage: Bacteria; Pseudomonadati; Pseudomonadota; Gammaproteobacteria; Alteromonadales; Shewanellaceae
Description: bacterial SSU rRNA
Rfam family: Bacterial small subunit ribosomal RNA
Source: RNAcentral